Gallus gallus (chicken) is the source of this 3205-nucleotide long non-coding RNA. The record is from Ensembl. NCBI's taxonomy places the organism in Eukaryota, Metazoa, Chordata, Aves, Galliformes, Phasianidae.
CCACAAAUGGUCUUUAAAAACCUGAGCAACUCUUCCUGUCCUACUUUAUUUCCUUCCCAACCAUGAGUUCAGUGUGACAGUGGGAAGCAGUGAGCACGUGGUCAUACCCAGGAGAUGCACAGGGUGAGGUCCCACCAGGACACCCCUCACCACGGGGAUGCAGCAGUUGAUUCUGGGGUCCCGUGGCAGCUCCACAUCCACAGUGACCAAAGGGCCCACAGGGACAGUGGCCCUGGAGGUAGCUGGUGACUGAAGACUGCUGGAUUGCUCCAUACCUGGAUGAGAUGUGUGAGGUCGCCGGGGAUGCUGGUGGCUGUGGGUCUCCUGAUGACCACAGCCAAGGCAGGCCAGGUUGGAUGGGGCCUUGGCAACCUGAGCUGGAUUUCAGCCUCCAGAUUUCAGCCCCCCAAAUGUGCCAAGCGUGAACCUUCAGCGAGAGCUUCAUCCACGCAACCCAUGCUGGACUAACUCAUCCCAGUCCAACCGUUCCCUGCAGCAGGAGUUUUGCGUUCAUGGAAGCACCUGGUGUAUUAGAAGUUGGUUUUGGAAUGCACUCACAGUGCCAACAGCCACAGUGACCGUCCUGCUGCCGGGCUGAGCAGUGGGGGGCUCUGCACUGGGGGAUGGAGCCUGAGCUGUGGCCUUGGGACCUGGCUGAGUUUCCCUGCUUCCAGCUGGGGGAUGGGGACAUCAGGAACAGGACCCAUCUAGGAACAGGAGCAGGUGCUGCCUUGCUUACCAUGGGGCUUUAAAGGCCAGGCUCACCCCAGCAAGGCAGUGGGUCCUCAGUUAGCUGCCCAGCUCCUUGUAAGGUCAUAUUUGUCAUCUCAAAAUACAGUUUGCUGUAGAACAGAGAAUAUUUAGAAGGGAUUUGAUAAGUAACAUCUGCUGCUGUACUGAAAUUUCAGUUCGAAGUGCUAAAAACUUUAAAAAGAAAGAGGUUUGGGUAAAAAUAAAAGGUCUCUGGAGAGGUCUCCUUGGCAGGAUCCUCCUCUCCUCCUUACACACAGCAGAUUUGUUCAUGUUUGCCAUUAUCCAUCAAACCAGAGCGCAGCAAAGGGCAGCUUUCAAGAGAUGAACCUGGAGGAGAUAAUAUUUCACACCGCAUAAAAUGCACCUCGGGAAUUUUCAGUUCUUCUUCCCUGUUACAUUACAAGGGCCUUCAUAAAAAGUGUCACAGCUCACGAGCUAAAAAAGAAAAAGAAGAAAAGAGAAAAAAAAAAAAAAAAGCAGCAGCUUGUGGCUUUGGAUGCAUUCAGUGCGCGUUUGUGGUCGGCGUUUCCCAGGCUGCUCGGGGGUGAGCGCCAGGUCGGCCCUCGCACGGCGCUCUGCAGGCGCUGUUUCUGUAUGAGUGAUAGCAGGCACUGAACGGCAGCACUGCGGCUGAAGGCUCCAUCCUGCCCAGGGGGUUGGGAUGGGGAUGCAGCUCCCAGCCGCCCCGCUGCUGCUGCUGUGUUCAAUGAGGUGGGAGUGGGCGCUAACCCGGGGUUUGAGGGAUAUAAGUAGGUUUUGCCUCCUCUAACGGAGAGGUUUGGCUUCAUCCUCGUUCAACUUCACUGCCACAAGGUGAGAUGGGGAACGGAUGGGUGAGCGUACAAAUGAGGAGGUGCUGCAGAGCAGCCUCAGUGCACAAUGUGGGGCAAUGUAAGUCACCGAGUGCUGCCGUAGGAAGAGGUGGGAGGCUCUGGUUUGGCAGUUACUAUAGCAAUUAACCCAAGCCCAGGGUUCCCCUGGGUACAGCCCUGGCGGUGCCUGCAUGCUCGCUGCAGAUGGGUUGUUGUGGUGCUGGGGUGUACUUGUGUGCUUGAUCUGUGUGUAAACACAAGAAGGCAGAUAUACAAACACUGCCCUGCACUCAACCUGGCUGCUCUAAAACAAACCAUCAUUAGAGGGAGGCAGUCCAGGAGGUCCAACCCUGACGCACACGGCUGUGCCUGCUGCCAGCCUGCUGCACCGAUGUGUCUUGCUUCCACAGAGCUCAAUUCACCGCACCAGAAGUAGUCCUAAAACCCAACACAAGGGACAGAUCCUUUGGUUUUCCAUAUUUUCUCCCCUGGGUAGGAAACAGGUCAGGUCUGCCAGCAGAACAGACCGCAGCAGAUGGGUUGCUUUCCUACUGCACUUUUUUGCAUGAAGGAAGAUGAUACCUUACACGUGAGGUGCCACCUCAGUCAGUCACUGCACAAUGCCUUUCCUUGUCCCCUCCAUGCCCUCAGCAGUCAGACAUCUGACUCCGAUUGCUCUCUUUCCCACUUGAUGUAAGGAGUAUUGUGCACGAAGAGAAGUGCACGGAGGUGAAACCCUCUGAGAAACAUUGCGGCCACUUCUCUUUUCCCAUCAGCAGAUAUUGCUUCAGUUCCCAUUUCCUACUAUUGACUUUUGUUGCCUUUGGGCCCUGAUCACUGGCUGCUUGCUAAGGAUUUCUGAGCCUUGGACCAUGACCUAAUUUCACUAUUUAAAAACAGAUCUUCAGUAUUCCUAUUGUGCUUUGUCUUUGAAUGGGCAUUUCUGCAAAACAGUUCCAUUUUCUCUGCCUGCAAGCAACACAAGAUCGAGCAAGGCGCUCACACCGUGGUACCAGCAGGGCCCAGCCAUGGGAACAAUCCCUGUCCCCCCCAUCCGGAGCCCUCUGCCCACCUCCCUCCGAUCAGACCCCGUGCUCCCCCCAGCCCUUCAUCUUAAAGAAAAACACCACAAUCACCACUGUGUAUCUCAGACGCCCUGCAAAAGCUGUGAGUUGCAGACCGCCAGAAAACUGCUCAGACGGUCACAGCGGCUGAGCAAUGCUGGCUCUCACCAUCACCGCUCCGCUGCCGUCCUGCUGCUGCUGCCCCAGGCCCUGCGACCUUUGCAGUGAUUAUUUUCGGUCCUGCGGAAAAGGAAAUAGGAAGUAGAGCCACUCAGAUGUGUUUUCGCACACCGCGGGGCUCUCCCAUGCUCAGACAGCACUGCUCGCUCUGCGGAGAGCUCUCGUUGCCAUUUAUUCGCUCUGGGAUGUUGCAAUCAGACCAAAACGGCAGCGCGGCUACCUGAGGGUGGAAGUGGCUGAGGAAGCAGAGAGCAGUCCCGGCAGUGGGGAUGCACCGCUGAGGUCAGAGUGGGACACAGCUUGAAAGAUGAGCACGGCUGGGCUCCAGGGCUUGGGCUGCAACCACCCUGCUGUUCUGGAGCCUCUGAUGCCUGGCUCAGAAACGUAUCUAAGGAG